This is a long non-coding RNA of Oncorhynchus mykiss (rainbow trout), 1940 nucleotides long. NCBI's taxonomy places the organism in Eukaryota, Metazoa, Chordata, Actinopteri, Salmoniformes, Salmonidae. The record is from Ensembl.
AUAUCAUCCUCCACUCACUAUCACAAGGGUUAGUAACUACACAGACUCAUUUCAUAUCAUCCUCCACUCACUAUCACAAGGGUUAGAAACUACAGACUCAUUUCAUAUCAUCCUCCACUCACUAUCACAAGGGUUAGUAACUACACAGACUCAUUUCAUAUCAUCCUCCACUCACUAUCACAAGGGUUAGAAACUACAGACUCAUUUCAUAUCAUCCUCCACUCACUAUCACAAGGGUUAGUAACUACACAGACUCAUUUCAUAUCAUCCUCCACUCACUAUCACCAGGGUUAGUAACUACACAGACUCAUUUCAUAUCAUCCUCCACUCACUAUCACAAGGGUUAGUAACUACAGACUCAUUUCAUAUCAUCCUCCACUCACUAUCACAAGGGUUAGUAACUACACAGACUCAUUUCAUAUCAUCCUCCACUCACUAUCACAAGGGUUAGUAACUACACAGACUCAUUUCAUAUCAUCCUCCACUCACUAUCACAAGGGUUAGUAACUACACAGACUCAUUUCAUAUCAUCCUCCACUCACUAUCGCAAGGGUUAGUAACUACACAGACUCAUUUCAUAGAACUUUAAAACACUGGCAGUUUGUCUACUUCACUUCUUUAGUCUCCUCUCUGAUCACUCCAGAUAAUCCAGUUGUUCAGGGAUGUGUGAUGUCAGAAUUACAGAAUUCAACCUAUCAACAGACUGGUUCAUAACUUAUGGAGGUCUAAUAUAUGAAGAUAACUUAUAGAUAGAACCUGCUCUUACCAUGACUAACAGAUGUACCAAUCUCCUCCUCCUCUUCUUCAUCUUUAAUGUUGACAUUCAGCUCCAGUGUUUGACUGCAGUCUUCCAGCUUCACUGAUGCCAUCUCUGGAUCCUGCAGUGCAAACUGGGCUCCACUGUCACAAUCAGGACCCAGUGACUGUAGGUUUGGACUCAGUGUGGAAGGGGAGAGGCAGGCUGGGUUUGUCCUCACUGUUGAUGUUACCGGCCUCAGACUUAAUCUGAGUUGGUCUGUAUUAAUACUUCUGAAACGGACACAACCGCUACUGUCUUCAGAGAACAAUUGUGGCCGAAGCCUGCCCGGAACUUCCUGUUCCCUGACUAUCAAAACGCAACAGGACUACUUCUUCUUCUUCGGUGGGUUUAAUGGUGGUUGGCAUUCAAUAUGUUGCAUUAGUUUAUUUAGUAAAUCUUUUCUUAACUCAGGUGUUGCAAGAAGGCCAAUAAGGGUAUUAUCUUUGAAAAACAAGGGUCCUGAAAAACGGACGUUUCUUUUUUUUGUUGGUCAAGAUAUAACUGAGGGAGUCAAACAAACACUGUUUGGUUGUAAUCAAGCUCUGACUUCACUACUUGUUUUGACCAGUGCCCAUACUCUGAUAGACUUCGUACCUUGUGCUGAUUAUUUGAAUUAAACACACCACUUAUUUUGUUCAUAAAGCUGUAGGAAUUGAAUUAAGUGUCUGGUUAAGAUCAUUUGAAAUUCUCAGCCUCUGGCAGAUUACUCCUCUACUUUACUGAGAGAGAGAGCACCUGAUUGUUCAAUUACUUGAAUUUACAUGGUUGUUACGAGAGAGAGGGAGAGAGAGGGAGGGAGAGAGAGAGCGAGAAAGAUGCAGGAUACAUUUGAUUGACCCUGUUCUGUGGAGCCUUCCUACUCCUCCUCAUCCCCUGUUCUGUGGAACCUUCCUACUCUUCCUCCUCAUCCCCUGUUCUGUGGAACCUUCCUACUCUUCCUCCUCAUCCCCUGUUCUGUGGAACCUUCCUACUCCUCCUCCUCAUCCCCUGUUCUGUGGAGCCUUCCUACUCCUCCUCCUCAUCCCCUGUUCUGUGGCCUCUCCCCAUAUGAAAUCUGUAAUUACAACUAAUGAAUUCAUGCUCAGGAUUCAUUGAGGAUGUCUAUCAUAUACUGGGUAUAUUAAUUAUGCUUCAAGGUUGA